AUUGAACGCUGGCGGCAUGCUUUACACAUGCAAGUCGAACGGUAACAGGUUAAGCUGACGAGUGGCGAACGGGUGAGUAAUGCAUCGGAACGUGCCCGGUCGUGGGGGAUAACACUUCGAAAGAAGUGCUAAUACCGCAUACGAUCUGAGGAUGAAAGCGGGGGACCGUAAGGCCUCGCGCGAUCGGAGCGGCCGAUGUCAGAUUAGGUAGUUGGUGGGGUAAAGGCCCACCAAGCCGACGAUCUGUAGCUGGUCUGAGAGGACGACCAGCCGCACUGGGACUGAGACGCGGCCCAGACUCCUACGGGAGGCAGCAGUGGGGAAUUUUGGACAAUGGGCGCAAGCCUGAUCCAGCAAUGCCGCGUGCAGGAAGAAGGCCUUCGGGUUGUAAACUGCUUUUGUACGGAGCGAAAAGGCUCUCUCUAAUACAGGGGGCUGAUGACGGUACCGUAAGAAUAAGCACCGGCUAACUACGUGCCAGCAGCCGCAGUAA
RNAcentral lists this ribosomal RNA (493 nucleotides) under uncultured bacterium. RNAcentral describes it as "partial 16S ribosomal RNA". It matches the Rfam family "Bacterial small subunit ribosomal RNA", at positions 29 to 523 of the family's 1533-position model. The record is from RNAcentral.